RNAcentral lists this long non-coding RNA (5088 nucleotides) under Sus scrofa (pig). RNAcentral's name for it is "lncRNA (ENSSSCG00040028328.1)". Lineage: Eukaryota; Metazoa; Chordata; Mammalia; Artiodactyla; Suidae. The record is from RNAcentral.
GAAAAUGGGGCUGUCUAGAUACAAUAAUGUGAAGAAAUGCUUACUUAUUUGUGUUACUAUAAUGGCAUUCUUCUUGAAAUUUUUGUACAUGUUUAAACACUAAAACAAUGUUUAUAACUUUGUAUAUUGCUAUGUGACAAUCUAAAAUGCAUAUAGGGGUUAUUGUAGAGAAACUUGCCUGAAAAAACAUGGCAAAAUUUUAACAUUACUGUAUAAAGAGAUGAGAAAUUAAGGGACUGCUGCUACUUUCCCACAUUUGUAAUUUUAAAGGUGUUUCAAAAGCAACGUUUAAACAACGAAGGGAAUUCUAGAGAUAUAAUUGAUUUGUGCCUGUCCUGAUUGUUGCCUAUUGACAUCUUGGGAAUGUUGGGCUGUUGUAUCCAACUUUGUAUCCUCAGUGGCUGUAAUGAAUAGUUUUGAGUGAUCAUGAAGAACCUGUGACAUAGACUAGUGCAGCAGAGUUACCCAGCGAAAUAAAGACUGUUGGGUUACCGAAGGAAAGAAGAAGAAAGAAGACAGGAUUUGAGGUGAACAUGGUAAAAAAUGACACACUUGCAUAUAACCUGAGGAUAGCUGGCAUCAGGAACAUCCUUAUGCAACUAUGCCUAUGGAGUUCUUAUUCUUAUGCAAACAUGCCUAUGGAGUUCUUUCAUUUAUAAAUUUCAAAUUUAAACCACAGGAGAUGACAGUUACAAGAAAACAUACUUUUGCCACUUUUGUUUUUAAAUCUCAGUAAUUGGUACCACCAGACCUGUUGCAGUAUUCUCAUUCCAAGUGUUCUUCACUCCCAUCUUUGGACCCUGGAGAAGCCCUUGGCCAUCAUAAUCUGUGUCCUUUAGGUGAUGAUUGAUUAGGAUACUGAUCACUUCUGCAACCAUCUUCACUAAAAACCAAAAGACAGUCUUCAUAAUGUAUGUAGACUCGGCAUUGAUGUGUUACAAUAGACACUCCCUGUAGAUCAGAAAAACUGGACUUAGAAGGCUCAAGUUCGAAAGUGACGUGAAGGAUGUUAUUGGAGAGAAUUGUAACCAGGCAUGUUGAGAGAUUUCAAUUGUUGCCAUUGGACUAAAUCUCAGGAGCUUUACUGAUGGAGGCAUCAUUACAUGAAGAAGCUCAGCAUGGAGUGAUUGCAAGGCUUCGUUUCAGUGCUCUCAUAAAUAUUAGGUUCUUGUAUUUAAAAUUUUAACUUAUCACAGGGAAAUUUAAAAUUGAUUCAUAAAAAAUCGUCUUUUUCAAGAUCUCAAAGGACAUGGAAAUUUGUGAAGUAUGUUUUUACUUUGCCUUUUCCUAAUUCUAUACAUCCUUUCUAGUGUAUUGAUAAAUUAAUAUGCAAGUCAUUUGGGGGUCUCUAUAUUGGCUAUAGAUUUAAUAGAUUAAUUAGGAGAGACUAGAUCUCUUUAAAAAUUGAGUCUUCCUACCCAACAGCAAGUAUCUCCCUCUGUACUCUCCCAGGUGGUGAACAUAUGGACAAGAGGAUCAUAGAAAUCUUCACAGUGGUUUCAUCCACAGCAUCACCCAAUUGCUGUCAUUAUUUACCCCUUUCAGAAGCUUGUCUCAUCUUUGUAUCCCGAAAGGCAUGCCUUGAUAUAUGUAUCCUUGGGAAUAGAAGUGACGUUGCUUUUGACAAGUAAUUUCCUGGAAUGUUGUUAGUAGUUCUCUGUGCUCUGAAUGUAUCUUGUGUUUUUCUUUAUUAUUGUUUUUACCCCAUUGGACUUUUUUUAUCCAUGUUUUACUUUACAAAUGUGAGAUUUGUGUGUGAUAAAUAUGAUUAGUGCAACCCUCUGGACACCUUGCUCGUGGCCCAGUUAAUAACCAGGCUUUCCCAUGACCCCAUGCUUCCCAUGUACUAUUUUUGGUAUCAUUUUUAAGAUACUUUGUUCCUCUUUUGAAUCAUAAGCCCACAGUUUUUAGAUCAAUCCCUUUUAAAAAAAUGUUUUUUUAAAAGAUCCUUUUAAAACUUUUGUAUUGCCUGUAACAGGCUGCCUCCAGUUUCACUUUAUAUUGAACGUACUAGGUCUCAAUAUAGAACAUGAUCUGAAUCUGAAUGUAGUUUUUCUCUUCCCAAUAUACAAAUAUAAUUCCUGGAUGCCAUCACAACACUAGUGUAUAGGUGAACCAUACGCUUUCAUUGACAUUUGAAGCCAUGGUAAAGCAAUCUUGUAGAAAAUGGUUCCACAAUUUUCUUGGCAUCACUGACAUGUUCUUAUUUGUGACUGGAGUAAAAACUCAAGUUAGCAAAGAGAUUUUCAUUUAAUCCAUAUUACUCUGAUUUUCACUCAUAUCUGUUUACUCUGAGUGGGCUUAUUAUAGAUAGCUGUGUUUAUUCGAAGUUUUGUUUACUUCUGGAACAUAAGCUGCCCUGUCAUUAGAGAACUAGUAAUUACAUUGUCCAGAUUCUUACUAUACAGGCUAAAACUGAAUGCAUUGAAAUGGGCCACAGAGAAUGAAUGGGUUAUUAAAGAAUUUAAAGUGAAUUGUCAUUCAUCCUUCAUUUUCCAUUCCUACUUUCUAGGGUGACCAUUUAUGGUAUAGUGGUCAAUAAUUUAUCUAAGCUUAUAAAUUUAUGUGCAAUUUAUUUUACAAAUAUGUAGUUAAUAUGGUUGUAUUUUACAAAUUUAUUUUUUUUUAAUAUUUUUGGACAUAUUUUCAAACCAGUAAUUAUAGCUUAAGUACACACUUUCCAUUGGAUGUAAAGUACAUACCAUAGUACACUUAUGCAUUUCUCUAUUUGAGAAAUAGAGGUUAACUGUUUGUUGUUGUAUAUAAUACUAUGAUAUAUGUUUUAUAUACAUAUAUAACUGAUCUCCUAAUUCUAUGAUAGAUUUAGAUGUGACAUUGUGGAUCAUUAAUUGUGCAUACUUUGAUUUUAGUUGAUAUUUUGAAAUUACUUUUGAAAUGUUUUCUAAGCCAGCAUAUGCAAUGUAGUAUAAUGGCAGUGCUAAUUUUCACAAAAAUCUGUACAUGAUGGAUAUUAUCAAUCCUUUAAACUUUUGGCUAAUCUAAUAGGUGAAAAUAUUAUUUAAAUUAAGUAUAAAUUAUAAACGGGCAAACAUAAAAAGACCAACUAAAAUGGAAAGCGAUAGUCCACAUUUCAUCUAAUUUCAAGAGUUGUGAGACAUAGAAACCGUAAACGUUUUUAAAAUGUAGUGCUUCUUGGAGGUUCAUAAACUUCCUAAGUGUAUCUUAUACCAGUGUUUAAUUUUUGACUAUUUAUUUUUGGAAUAAUUUUAGAGUCAGUGUUGCAAAAAUCAUGUGGGCAACCCCCAUAUAUUCUAUAAUGUGUGUCUACCUCAGUGGUUCACAGUAAAUGGUGAGUGAUGUCACUUAUUGGUGACAUUAAAUUUGAUCACUUGAUUCAAUUGAUAUUUACUAUGUUUCUCCACUUUGUAGUUAAUAUUCUAUGGGGAAAUCAUUUGAAUAUAUGUAAUUUUGCAGUAUAGUUUUAGCAUUCACAAGUUAAGUCUUGUGAAUCCAACUUUUACACUAUGGUUUUAGCAUUCACAAGUAAGUCUUAGCAGAAUCAAUGAUUUUUCAAAAUCUCUUUUACUGGUUAUGUAUAUUAGUUGGCAUUUUGUUUAAAGGGAGUUUGUGUAUCAUGGCUUGUGAGAAAUGCUCAAUGAAAUAUUUUCUAACUUAAAUACCGUGUGAAAGAAUGAGAUGGUGAUUCACAGUUCAGAGCUGAGAAAGGGUUAUUUAAAAGAUUUAAUGAAGUUUAUGUCUAAACUAGAGAGCUGUAUGUGAGAGGCAUAUAUAACUCUUUAAGAGAUAGUUGAUUAAAUACAUGGUAGAGGGAGAAAAGCAUGUUUUUGUAAUAAGUUCCAACUAGGGAAUGUAACCAUGCCAUCAUUACUGGUGAAAUGGGCAACAGUUUUCUUGAACUGACUGUAUAGUAGGUUCAGAUUCACUAUAGACUGAUAUUCCAUAUAGAUGUUCAAUUACCAGUGUUCCUCCCUAUUUUUUUUAAUUUGUUAGGUUUCCAUAAACCUGUUAUAGUGUCUGAGAUUGAUGAUGAAUGACAUAUGUUGCAGAUGCUAUCUAAAGAUGAGUACUCAGUUUUCAGAGUUGUUAUUUAUGUUUAACCUGUCACUGUUCCUCCAACAUUCUGUAGUGAUGUCUAUAGAUGAUAUAGACUGCUGCAUUUAUUAUGUUGGCUAAAAUCUCUAUAUCCCUAAAUUCUGUUCUCGGUUAUCUAUAACCAGGGAACUAUAAGCAGACUACUAAAUGUAAUCUCAAAUUUUAUGCUAGUUAAAUAAGAUAUAGAGAAUGAAGAUAUUCUAAGUUUUGAAAAGUGACACAUGGCCUGGUUAAAUUGAUGAAAUGUUCUUUUCUUUUUUCUUUUUUUUUUUUUUUUGGCCACACCUGUAGCAUGUGGAAGUUCCCAGACCAGGGAUCAAACCUUCACCACAGCAGCAGCCUGAGCCAUUGCAGUAGACAACACUGGAUCUUUAACCUACUGCACUACAAGAGAACUCCUUGAUGAAAUAUUGAAAUCUUGUUAAUCAUCCUGAAUAUGAUGAGUUUCAAAAUAUGGAUCAGCAUUCCCUAGGUGCAGGCCAGGAAUAGAAAUGUCAUACCAGUUUGCAAAUUGUAAAUCAGUGAAGAGUAUUUAUAGAGGCAUGGGCAUGACCUAAGGCUUUGGCUCAAAAUGGUCAUCUGAAUAUUCUCCACCCCCUGUAAUCUAAAUUUCUGCUUAGUCUCUGAUGACAUGCUUAUAGUGGAGGCUCAGUGAAUAUUGGCCAUAGUGUGUGAAGGGGAAAAUGGAAGUGAAGCCAAAAUUUGUGACUAUAAACAAAUGAAUUAUGAACUUAGUGAAUGUGCAGAUAAAUAGGCAAAUGAAUUUCCAGUAAAGAAACUUGUCAUCGAAAGAAGGAAAAAGAAUUGAAGAAGACAGGGGCCAAGGGGAGUUUGUCAUCAUUUUAAUAUAUAUAUAUGGUGCUUUCCCAUGUAAUAUAAUAAGGGUAUUUUGGAAAAUUUGAAAUCUGCCUGGUUAAAACACAUUCUCCUUUCUUCCAUGAGGGCACAUGUAUUAUUGUUUCUUGUUGAUGUUAAAACAGUUUUAUUACCAAAUACAUACAUUCAGCCUGAAUC